CCGAUGGCCGCGUCCCACCCCCACCCGCAUCCCAUCCCCACUCGCUCUGCUCUUCUCUCCCUGCCUCGUGUCGCCGCCGCGCUCCCCUCGCCUCACCGUGUUUUCCCUCCACCUUCCAUAUGCUCGCUUCAAGCCCCCUCCAUCUUCCACCGGCUCGGCGCGAGCCCCAUCGUCCGCCAAAAAAGUUUGCCUUUUUAUCCAACCGGUGAUGAAUCACCGGAUCCGGCGUCGGCGAGGCUUGAUCCGGUGGAUACGAGUCCGGAGGCGCCGGAUCCGGUGGCCGCGAGGCCGGACGUGCUGGAUCCUGCUCCCGCAACGACAUGAUCGUGGGCAGGUCCAAGGCGUCGGUGCCGGUGAUUGAGGUGGUUGCACCCACAUCAAUCGAGAGAGCGCUCCGCCACGCUGUGAUCGUCGUCCGCGAGUGGCGCCUCUGGCGCAAGUUCCGGGAGCUCUGCAUGCGCUACUUCCCCACGCUGCUCGACAUGGCUGACCCCGCCGGCUGCGCACGCAAGUUCGCACCAGACUAUCUUGGCCCGCUCAUGGCUCUCGCCGACACCAUCAUCUUCAAAGAUUGAUCCAUGCGGGGGCCUGCUGCACCAUAGCUACACGCGCGAGUAAGAUUAUUAUUGCUUCUUGGUUAUGCCCCCGCAGCUCCUCCUUGUACUCCACCAUCUCCGUCAUUUUCUCAAAUUCCUGCAGCACAAUUUCACAAAAACGAGUUAGAUUGAUGCUGGAGUUUCCUUGACAAAGGCCCAGACUCUGAUCUUUCCAUCAAAAAUUACUUCGCCAUCAGCAUUGAACCUUGGCAUGGCCACUGCGCAACUUUGCCUAUGCUAUUUUUGUUUUGAACACUGCGCUCAGGACCAGCUUCUUCAGGCAGUAGGUACAACUGAAGCAAAAUGAUGAAAAAAUCAGUAGGUGUAAAAUGAUGAGUAGCUGCAAAAUGACUAGGUGCUGGAGUUCAGCUAUCUCCAAGCAUGUGUACAGCAAAAUGACUAGGUGCUGCAAAAUGGAGCAGCAAGUAGAGUUGAAAGAUGACUGAUGUGGUGCAGGAGUACCUGAUGCUGAUCUGGAGGAGGAUGAUGAUCCGGAGGCAGAGGAGGAAGAUGAUGAUCCGGAGGUGGAAGAAGAUCCGGAAGUGGAGGAGGAAGAUGAUGAUCCGGAGGUGGAAGAAGAUGAUCCAGAGGUGGACGAGGAAGAACUUGAUGCCUCCAUCAUUGGUGGAGGACGAGCUGGCCGGAGUAGGCGCUGGCGUGGAGGAGGCGCUGGCAUGGAGGAGCUGGCGGGAGCCGCGGAGGAAAUCUUGGCCGGAGGAGGGGCCAUGAAGUAGUCUGGAGGAACUAGCUCGAAGAACUGGCCGGAGGAGGAGGAACUGGCUGGAGGAGGGAGAAGGAACUGCGGAGGAGCUCGCGAUCUGGCUAGAGGAGACGCCGGCUAGGAUCCGGAGCUGGUACCUCCUCCAGCCAUGGCUGGAACAGAUUGUUCCGGCCAGGACAGCGAGCUGAUCAGCUACGUGGGGAGGAAGAAGACAUCACGGGAGCUGCGCGGAGGUGCUGCGUGAAGCUGCUGAUCAUGGGAGCUGGCUGGAUGGAGCGCGGAGGCGAACGAGCUAGGCGAUCCGCGAGCUGCACGAUCGAUCAGAUCGCGAGCGGGAAGGCCGAAGGCGAGCGAGUUGGGCGAUCAGAUCGCGAGGGCGGAGGGCCGGAGGCAAGCGAGCUGGGCGAGCGAUCCGCGAGCUACGCGAUCGAUCAGAUUGCGAGCUAGGUGGUGGAGCUCUUUUUGAAAUUUGAAUUCCCGAUCGGGAGGGGUUGUGCUUCUUUUCAUUAGUUUAGAAGGGGUUAAUUGUAAAAAUUAAUUAGACUGUGCCAUCAGACACUUUUUUCGGACCGGAGGGAGUACUAUAUUCUUAUAGCUCACUAUUGUAUAUGUUGGCUCUAAAUUGGUUAUAGAUGAUAUGGCACUUGGCUUAUACGUA
This is a non-coding RNA of Lolium perenne, 1975 nucleotides long. The record is from RefSeq and is a predicted model, not a curated record. Lineage: Eukaryota; Viridiplantae; Streptophyta; Magnoliopsida; Poales; Poaceae.